UACGGGGGGAGCAAGCGUUGUUCGGAUUUAUUGGGCGUAAAGAGCGUGUAGGCGGCCAGAUAAGUCCGCUGUGAAAUCUCGAGGCUCAACUUCGAGCUGUCGGUGGAAACUAUCUGGCUAGAGUCCGGAAGAGGAGAAUGGAAUUCCUGGUGUAGCAGUGAAAUGCGCAGAUAUCAGGAAGAACACCCGUGGCGAAGGCGGUUCUCUGGGACGGUACUGACGCUGGAGACGCGAAAGCGUGGGGAGCGAACAGG
Molecule: ribosomal RNA, 254 nt
Filed under: uncultured bacterium
Lineage: Bacteria
Description: partial 16S ribosomal RNA
Rfam family: Bacterial small subunit ribosomal RNA
Source: RNAcentral